RNAcentral lists this ribosomal RNA (253 nucleotides) under uncultured bacterium. RNAcentral's name for it is "partial 16S ribosomal RNA". It matches the Rfam family "Bacterial small subunit ribosomal RNA", at positions 524 to 776 of the family's 1533-position model. The record is from RNAcentral.
UACGUAGGGUGCAAGCGUUAAUCGGAAUUACUGGGCGUAAAGGGCGCGUAGGCGGCCAUCUAAGUCAGACGUGAAAUCCCCCGGCUUAACCUGGGAACUGCGUCUGAUACUGGAAGGCUUGAGUAUGGGAGAGGGAUGUAGAAUUCCAGGUGUAGCGGUGAAAUGCGUAGAUAUCUGGAGGAAUACCGGUGGCGAAGGCGGCAUCCUGGACCAUUACUGACGCUGAGGCGCGAAAGCUAGGGGAGCAAACGGG